RNAcentral lists this long non-coding RNA (1037 nucleotides) under Homo sapiens (human). Its description in RNAcentral is "HSALNT0396647". The record is from RNAcentral. Lineage: Eukaryota; Metazoa; Chordata; Mammalia; Primates; Hominidae.
CAGUGGUAAGUCACUCUCCCUUCUCUGGCCAUGGCCCAGUCAGGAGAGAAGAGUCACAUCAUCUACAUUCUAAAUCCAGAGAUGUGUUACAAUCUCUCCUAUAGGCAACGGUCAGAUAAGAGAGGAGGGCCAUGCCAGAUAGUUGAUGGGCCCUAAAUGUCACAAUGCCCAGUGUGGGCAGGGUCCAGGCAGAAGUCCCACAUCACCUUGGUGAUUAACCCAACAGUAUGUCGCAAUGCCUUCUGAGGUCAGGGCCAAGGCACAAAAGUGACAUAACCUUGGUGUUUGGUCCAACAAUAUGUCAGAAUCUCUUCUUGAGCAGAACCUAGCAAAAAGAGAAGAGUCACAUCAGCUGGAUGGUGGCCAAGAGAUAUGUCACAAUCCCAUCCGUGGGCUGAGCUAAGGAAGGAGAAUAAAAUCACCCAAGUGUUGAGCAGAGGCAGAUGUUAAAAUCACUCCUGCAGGAAGGCCCAGGGAUGAGAUUAACAAUACUGAACAUGUCCUUGUUUUAGGUAUGAAAGUCAACACCUGUAUUUUGGGUCUAAGUACAUGAGACACAAUGGUGGACAAUCUAUACUGAGAGCCUCAAUUCUUCCUGUAGACAGUGUCUCCUCAGUGGAGUAAAAGCCUCACGGUGUGUUGAAUCUUGGUCUGAGAGUCGCCAACCCACUGGUGGACCGGAUCCACUUACAAGAGUCAAUGUUCAAACUUUCAACUGUCUCCAGCUGUGAGAUUCAGAACCUCAACAGUCACUUUACAACCUUGGAGAGGUCAUUUGACACCUCUGUGCCUCAGUUUCUUCAUCUGCAAAAUGGAGAUGGUGUCCCGGACUUUGCAGCACUAUUUUGAAGGUCAGAGAUAAUGGGUAUCAGCACUGCGCCUGGGACAUGGUAGGAACUAAGUGUGACACUCUAGGCCUCUCCCCAGUCCUCAGGAGCCUCAUCUACUGCUGCAUAUUAAGAUUCCCCACCCACGGCCGGGUGUGGUGGCUCACACCUGUAAUCCCAGCGCUUUGGGAGGCCAAGGUGGGAGGAUCA